CACUAGGUUUUUAUAAAAACCAUCACUCAUUUUAUUAAACAUAUUU
Non-coding RNA from Ovis aries (sheep), 46 nucleotides. The record is from Rfam. Lineage: Eukaryota; Metazoa; Chordata; Mammalia; Artiodactyla; Bovidae.